GACGAACGCUGGCGGCGUGCUUAACACAUGCAAGUCGAACGGAAAGGCCCUGCUUUUGUGGGGUGCUCGAGUGGCGAACGGGUGAGUAACACGUGAGUAACCUGCCCUUGACUUUGGGAUAACUUCAGGAAACUGGGGCUAAUACCGGAUAGGAGCUCCUGCUGCAUGGUGGGGGUUGGAAAGUUUCGGCGGUUGGGGAUGGACUCGCGGCUUAUCAGCUUGUUGGUGGGGUAGUGGCUUACCAAGGCUUUGACGGGUAGCCGGCCUGAGAGGGUGACCGGCCACAUUGGGACCGAGAUACGGCCCAGACGCCUACGGGAGGCAGCAGUGGGGAAUAUUGCACAAUGGGCGGAAGCCUGAUGCAGCAACGCCGCGUGCGGGAUGACGGCCUUCGGGUUGUAAACCGCUUUCGCCUGUGACGAAGCGUGAGUGACGGUAAUGGGUAAAGAAGCACCGGCUAACUACG
This 466-nucleotide ribosomal RNA is filed under the name uncultured bacterium. RNAcentral describes it as "partial 16S ribosomal RNA". It matches the Rfam family "Bacterial small subunit ribosomal RNA", at positions 28 to 505 of the family's 1533-position model. The record is from RNAcentral.